Molecule: long non-coding RNA, 809 nt
Organism: Cucumis melo (muskmelon)
Lineage: Eukaryota; Viridiplantae; Streptophyta; Magnoliopsida; Cucurbitales; Cucurbitaceae
Exons: 3
Source: RefSeq, a predicted model, not a curated record
AGAGAGAAACCUAGAGAAAUUUUGGAAGAAAAAAAUAAAAGAAAUUGUUUGGAAACCCUAGCCGCCGCCAACCCUAGCUCUGCCGCGCCGCCGUCGGAUUCCAGCCAACUUGUACAAGAGCCCAGCCGCAACCCUCGAGCCGAACUCCCUUGUCCGUCCCGCGCCGCCGCGUCGAGUCGAGAGCUUCGAAGCCACGCAGCCCAGCAAGCCGUCGCCUUCGCGAAUCGGAAGCCGCCGCGUCUCGCCGGCCGAACUCCCUCGUCCGCAAGCCGUCGCCUUCGCGAUCGGAAGCCGCCGCGUCUCGCCAGCCGAAACCCGUCUGCAAGUCGUCGCCGAGCACCAGCUAAAGCCAGCCGUCGAAGUCACGGUAUUAGCCGGAUCACCCCGCGCCCCGUUCACGCGUAAACCCGACCCGACCGAGCCUCCGCUCCGCGACCCGAGCGACCCGCGUCCACACGCGCACAACACCUGCGCCCAAGCCGAGCCACAUCCGCGUCGUAGCCGAGUCGCUUCCCUCCGUGCCGCGCCUGCCUGCGCCGUGUCCGAGCCGAUCCCAGUCUUCAAGCCGAGUCGGUUCCUACUUCUCUAGCCGAGCCGAUCCGCCUGCCCUUGAGCUGCCAGUCUGCUCCGGUUCCUUUUCACCUACUUUGGACUUGCGCCGCUUGGGAAAGCGUGUUGUCACUGUUAGGACUCGUCGAGCAAAUCUCCAGGUAGAGGCCGAGGUAGGGGCAAAGGCAAGCUAGCAAGCGACCAGAAGUGACCGUGGCGAGCCAUAGGGAUUUCUGCUUCCGCUUACACCUCGUUUUAGA